This 429-nucleotide ribosomal RNA is filed under the name Chloroflexota bacterium. Its description in RNAcentral is "Chloroflexi bacterium partial 16S ribosomal RNA". It matches the Rfam family "Bacterial small subunit ribosomal RNA", at positions 355 to 776 of the family's 1533-position model. The record is from RNAcentral. Lineage: Bacteria; Bacillati; Chloroflexota.
UGGGGAAUAUUGCACAAUGGGCGCAAGCCUGAUGUAGCCAUGCCGCGUGUAUGAAGAAGGCCUUCGGGUUGUAAAGUACUUUCAGUCGGGAGGAAGGUGGUAAGGUUAAUAACCUUAUCAAUUGACGUUACCGACAGAAGAAGCACCGGCUAACUCCGUGCCAGCAGCCGCGGUAAUACGGAGGGUGCAAGCGUUAAUCGGAAUUACUGGGCGUAAAGCGCACGCAGGCGGUUGAUUGAGUCAGAUGUGAAAUCCCCGGGCUUAACCCGGGAAUUGCAUCUGAUACUGGUCAGCUAGAGUCUUGUAGAGGGGGGUAGAAUUCCAUGUGUAGCGGUGAAAUGCGUAGAGAUGUGGAGGAAUACCGGUGGCGAAGGCGGCCCCCUGGACAAAGACUGACGCUCAGGUGCGAAAGCGUGGGGAGCAAACAGG